AUAACCACACGUUAUUUACGGCCGUCCCCAUCGCACACACGGCACGCGUGCCUGCAGGGUCACCCCAGAGAGCUGGUUGCAGCAGGGAGGCCCGAAGGGCUCCUUUUAGGACCUGAAAACACAUCCCUUGCCUCCUUGUCACAAGCAGGGUGGGUAACAGCAGGGGUUCAGCCCGGCUGUUCCCACCUUUGGUCUCUCCAAGAAGUCGCCCAGCGCCCGGGGCUGCGCUGCCGUGGCUUGGAGCAGGCAGCUCUUGGCUACGGGCAAGAAGCAGCAGCCCCACAGCAUGGGGAACCUGCCUGCUUCCCCUGGAUCCCAUCUCCAGGAGAAACGGCCACAGCUUGGCCAAAACAGGCACAAACCGGAGAAUCUGCCCUGGAGGGUAACUGGUGCGCUGGUCCCCUGUCCCACAUGGGCUCUUUGAGUGGCUCGCCACCCCAGAGACACACACCUGCCCCUGAGACAAGGAGGCUGUUGGAGCAGCCAGGAAAGCUCCAAGCGGCUCCUGCCCCCAAAACCCUGGAGGUGAUGGAGACAGAGGACAGCCCUCAGGCUGCUCCUUCACGGAUCCCUGCAGCAGCCUCUGCACGUGGCUGUCACCCCCCGGGCAGCGAACCCCCCCUCCAAAGCUGCCUGAGGUCCGGCUCUCACCGAGGUCACCCCAUCAAACACGACUCGCGCCUGCAGGAGCAGGCAGCCCCCCCGAGCGUUGGGUGGGAUGUGGGCGAUCCCUUGGCUUUGCAGGAGGGUCAGAGACCAGGCUCUAAGGCUACGAUUAGCUCAACUGUGCCUUGGUGAUAUCCUCACAGGCAGGCAGGAGCUGAUGAACUUUUUCCUUGCAAAAAGAUGCCUCUGCAUGCCCUGGGUGCAGAAACACGCUGCCCCCAGACAACACCUGCUCCUCACCCUCCCCAGCCAGCAGCAGCUGCCCCCCUUGCAGCCUUUUACAGCUCUCCUGGCUCCUGCCCAGCUGAGCCCGAGCUGAUGGCACCAGCUCAGGUCAGGGCUGCUCCUCCUCAGGCUUACAGGCCAGCCCAGAGCGAGGUGGGGUCCCCAGUGCCCCACCAGCAACGUGCUGGGGCUUACUGGGGGAGCAUCACCUCCUUCAUCCUUGCUCGGUCUUCAUCCUCCUCACCUGCAUCUGCGUGCUGCUGAACCAGCUGGGACCGAUCCUGGGGAUGAUCCUGCUCCGUGCCCAUGGCUGUCACCUCUUGAUGCUCACCUGUCCCCAGGGUACUGGCACAGCUGGGAAAAGCUUUUUAGAACC
This 1267-nucleotide long non-coding RNA is filed under the name Anser brachyrhynchus (Pink-footed goose). Its description in RNAcentral is "lncRNA (ENSABRG00000015728.1)". The record is from RNAcentral. Lineage: Eukaryota; Metazoa; Chordata; Aves; Anseriformes; Anatidae.